RNAcentral lists this ribosomal RNA (497 nucleotides) under uncultured bacterium. RNAcentral's name for it is "partial 16S ribosomal RNA". It matches the Rfam family "Bacterial small subunit ribosomal RNA", at positions 28 to 507 of the family's 1533-position model. The record is from RNAcentral.
GAUGAACGCUGGCGGCGUGCCUAAUACAUGCAAGUCGAGCGAACAGACGAGGAGCUUGCUCCUCUGACGUUAGCGGCGGACGGGUGAGUAACACGUAGAUAACCUACCUAUAAGACUGGGAUAACUUCGGGAAACCGGCGCUAAUACCGGAUAAUAUAUUGAACCGCAUGGUUCAAUAGUGAAAGACGGUUUUGCUGUCACUUAUAGAUGGAUCCGCGCCGCAUUAGCUAGUUGGUAAGGUAACGGCUUACCAAGGCGACGAUGCGUAGCCGACCUGAGAGGGUGAUCGGCCACACUGGAACUGAGACACGGUCCAGACUCCUACGGGAGGCAGCAGUAGGGAAUCUUCCGCAAUGGGCGAAAGCCUGACGGAGCAACGCCGCGUGAGUGAUGAAGGUCUUCGGAUCGUAAAACUCUGUUAUUAGGGAAGAACAAAUGUGUAAGUAACUAUGCACGUCUUGACGGUACCUAAUCAGAAAGCCACGGCUAACUACGUG